This 460-nucleotide ribosomal RNA is filed under the name uncultured bacterium. Its description in RNAcentral is "partial 16S ribosomal RNA". It matches the Rfam family "Bacterial small subunit ribosomal RNA", at positions 338 to 795 of the family's 1533-position model. The record is from RNAcentral.
CCUACGGGUGGCUGCAGUGAGGAAUAUUGGUCAAUGGACGAGAGCCUGAACCAGCCAAGUCGCGUGAAGGAUGACGGUCCUAUGGGUUGUAAACCUCUUUUACCUGGGAACAAAACACGGUACGUAUACCGCCUCGUGAGUACCAUAUGAAAAAGCAUCGGCUAACUCCGUGCCAGCAGCCGCGGUAAUACGGAGGAUCCGAGCGUUAUCCGGAUUUAUUGGGUUUAAAGGGUGCGCAGGCGGCUGGUUAAGUCAGUUGUGAAAGUUUGCGGCUCAACCGUAGAAAUGCAGUUGAAACUGGCAGGCUAGAGUACGGUAGAGGUAUGCGGAAUGCGUGGUGUAGCGGUGAAAUGCAUAGAUAUCACGAAGAACUCCGAUUGCGAAGGCAGCACACUGGACUGCAACUGACGCUGAGGCUCGAAAGUGUGGGUAUCGAACAGGAUUAGAUACCCCAGUAGUC